AUUGGUUUCAAUUGAUCGAGGAAUUUAAAAUGCAUUUCAUGAAAGACCCGGUGCUUUCUGAUGCCGUAACUCACUGGAUGUGUUGCAUAAAAGGCGUUAUGUGGAAAAGCUUCGUUCUAUACAGUCGCCAGAUCCAUAUUUGAUGCCUAAAUCGAUGAUUUUUGACCGGCUGCCUUCACCGUCUCUGCCUGACCCUGAUAUUUACAACUAUCUUGUCCACACAAAAUCAGCCUAUUCUCACGAAAGUUUGAAAAACUUUAAGAGCUUGGAGGCUUAUAAAUGCUACGUUGCUGGUUGGGUGAAACAGGUCCUCGUACACGAAAAUUCGGCAGGAAUCUUGUGCUCGGAAGCCGCUAGACAGCGGUGAAAACAUCAAUAUGAUGCCAACACGAUCGCAGACAUCAGACGGAGACUACGAAGCUCGUCGCCACGGUCGCACAGCAAGAAGGAUGAGCUCUGACGCACGGGACGGGACCGGACGGGAGGAAACAUCGGUUUGGGCAUCAAAUAUGGAUCAGGCGACAGGAUCGACCGAAGCUUUUCCAAAUAACAGCUUUUAUGCAACUCAUCCAAUGUGUUUACAGCGUCUGAAAGCACCGGGGCUUCAAUAAUUUGCAAGUGAAUCCACCUUUAGAAACUACGAUCAAUGACAAUAUGGACACACAAUGACGGACAAUAUAGCGGCACAAUACAGCGAUCACGUGAUUGUGUGACGUUGGUGAUUGGGGUCUAUAAAUGCACAAGGACAGCCGUUAUCGCUUGUCGGCCAUAUUGUGCCCUUCAAUAAACAUGAUAGUCAGUGGAGGUAGUGUGUGAAAUAGCUCAAAAUUGCUCAAUUUUCAUUUUAGCUUGGGCAGAUUUCCAAGUCACUUUCUGUUAACUUCAUGACAUUUCUGGUCACUUCCUGUUGAUUUGGGGGUGUUCAGGGGCACUUCCUGUUGAUAUCAGGGACUGUGCAGGUAGGAGUAAUGCGAAUUGUAAACUAAUGGGAACGGCCGGUAUCAGACCUGGGAAUGCCCCAAAAUGUAGACGAAGUCACCCGAAAUAGACAGGAACUUACCUGUAACUACCCUGGAAGCUAAAGGAAGUACACAUUGGCUCAAAGUGAAGAUUAAGCAUUAACUUUAUCUUUGGUAAUAUUUCACAGACUUCAUAAUGGCAUUGAUGGGUCAGAUCAUUCAUGCACUGCGCCUCGCAUUAAAGUAGGGGGCCGGCCACAUCAAGAUUAGCUACUCACAAACACAAAGCGAUCUAACGCCGGAUUUCUGUUGAAAAAGUAGCAACGCUGUACCACAUACAAACAGGAAGGAUUGUCUCAGGAGUGAUUUGUUCGAGGAUUCAAGGUAAUUAUAUUUUUCGUACCAUGCAUGCAUUUUGAAACGAAAAAAAAAAAAAUCAAUGGCAGAAAUUAGCCGCUACUGCAUAGCCAUCAUAGUUUGCAAUAUUUAUGUAAAAUAAAUGCUAACUGCACGUUUUUUUUGCUUUCAACAAAGUUAUUUUACCUCCAUUUCUAUAAAGAAUUUGGGGAUUUAAGCAUUUAUUCACAAGAAUUUUCACCAGAAAAGCUCCGUUUACAUGAGGCGGUCACUAGCUACAUUCACUAACAGAUUAGCAUUGUACUUAGACAUACAGUGGGGCAAAUAAGUAUUUAGUCAACCACUAAUUGUGCAAGUUCUCCCACUUGAAAAUAUUAGAGGCCUGUAAUUGUCAACAUGGGUAAACCUCAACCAUGAUACAAUGUGGGGGAAAAAAAAAAA
Molecule: long non-coding RNA, 1757 nt
Organism: Corythoichthys intestinalis (scribbled pipefish)
Lineage: Eukaryota; Metazoa; Chordata; Actinopteri; Syngnathiformes; Syngnathidae
Exons: 3
Source: RefSeq, a predicted model, not a curated record